RNAcentral lists this ribosomal RNA (466 nucleotides) under uncultured bacterium. Its description in RNAcentral is "partial 16S ribosomal RNA". It matches the Rfam family "Bacterial small subunit ribosomal RNA", at positions 28 to 523 of the family's 1533-position model. The record is from RNAcentral.
GAUGAACGCUGGCGGCGUGCCUAACACAUGCAAGUCGAGCGAUCUCUUCGGAGAGAGCGGCGGACGGGUGAGUAACGCGUGGGUAACCUGCCCUGUACACACGGAUAACAUACCGAAAGGUAUGCUAAUACGGGAUAAUAUAUAAAAGUCGCAUGGCUUUUAUAUCAAAGCUUUUGCGGUACAGGAUGGACCCGCGUCUGAUUAGCUAGUUGGUAAGGUAACGGCUUACCAAGGCGACGAUCAGUAGCCGACCUGAGAGGGUGAUCGGCCACACUGGAACUGAGACACGGUCCAGACUCCUACGGGAGGCAGCAGUGGGGAAUAUUGCACAAUGGGCGAAAGCUUGAUGCAGCAACGCCGCGUGAGCGAUGAAGGCCUUCGGGUCGUAAAGCUCUGUCCCCAAGGAAGAUAAUGACGGUACUUGAGGAGGAAGCCCCGGCUAACUACGUGCCAGCCGCCGCCGUAA